This 72-nucleotide transfer RNA is filed under the name bacterium. RNAcentral's name for it is "tRNA-Thr". It matches the Rfam family "tRNA". From Rfam's summary of the family: Transfer RNA (tRNA) molecules are approximately 80 nucleotides in length. Their secondary structure includes four short double-helical elements and three loops (D, anti-codon, and T loops). Further hydrogen bonds mediate the characteristic L-shaped molecular structure. tRNAs have two regions of fundamental functional importance: the anti-codon, which is responsible for specific mRNA codon recognition, and the 3' end, to which the tRNAs corresponding amino acid is attached (by aminoacyl-tRNA synthetases). tRNAs cope with the degeneracy of the genetic code in two manners: having more than one tRNA (with a specific anti-codon) for a particular amino acid; and 'wobble' base-pairing, i.e. permitting non-standard base-pairing at the 3rd anti-codon position. The record is from RNAcentral.
GCCGGCGUAGCUCAGCGGUAGAGCAGUUGAUUCGUAAUCAACUGGUCACCCGUUCAAAUCGGGUCGCCGGCU